RNAcentral lists this long non-coding RNA (344 nucleotides) under Elaeis guineensis (African oil palm). RNAcentral's name for it is "long non-coding RNA (EGUI_LNC039294)". The record is from RNAcentral. Lineage: Eukaryota; Viridiplantae; Streptophyta; Magnoliopsida; Arecales; Arecaceae.
UAUCAUUUCAUAUUCGUCGGAUAUGUCAUAUUUGUUUCUAAGGGUCGUGAGGUUCUCCUCAGUCAGAACAGAUCCCUCUGUUUCUGGAUCGAGGUAAUCCAUGAGAUCAUGCACAAAAAAUUCUGCACUGUGAUCCGAACUCUCUUUACCUAACAAAUCAGUUUCAGGAUCCUUUCGAGGUGGAUUUUCUAUCUCUAUGGCCAAAAGGGGUUGAGUCGACCUAACAUGUGGGCCAUCUAUGGUCUCCUUCCCCUUUCUAUCUCUCUUAGACUUGUUUUCCAGAAAAAAAAUAUGAGAAAAAAAUAGACAGACUCAAAAGAGAAGGAAUAGCUACCUUACAGUUG